UGUACAAAACUUGGUGUACACUU
This 23-nucleotide small nuclear RNA is filed under the name Arabidopsis thaliana (thale cress). Its description in RNAcentral is "snRNA_03893". The record is from RNAcentral. Lineage: Eukaryota; Viridiplantae; Streptophyta; Magnoliopsida; Brassicales; Brassicaceae.